GCUAGCAUGGUGCAAUGGUUUGAAUAUUGGACUAUGACUCUGGAGACUAGGGUUCAAAUCCCCACUCAGCC
RNAcentral lists this transfer RNA (71 nucleotides) under Phrynosoma platyrhinos (Desert horned lizard). RNAcentral describes it as "tRNA-OTHER". Lineage: Eukaryota; Metazoa; Chordata; Lepidosauria; Squamata; Phrynosomatidae. The record is from RNAcentral.